GUCGGCUACCAUACCACGUUGAAAGCACCGGUUCUUGUCCGAUCACCGAAGUUAAGCAACGUUGGGCC
Molecule: ribosomal RNA, 68 nt
Filed under: Trichobilharzia regenti
Lineage: Eukaryota; Metazoa; Platyhelminthes; Trematoda; Strigeidida; Schistosomatidae
Source: RNAcentral